RNAcentral lists this ribosomal RNA (253 nucleotides) under uncultured bacterium. RNAcentral's name for it is "partial 16S ribosomal RNA". It matches the Rfam family "Bacterial small subunit ribosomal RNA", at positions 524 to 776 of the family's 1533-position model. The record is from RNAcentral.
GACAGAGGUGCCAAGCGUUAGGCGGAAUUACUGGGCGUAAAGCGCGUGUAGGCGGCUAAGUAAGUCGGGCGUGAAAUCCCACGGCUCAACCGUGGAAGUGCACUCGAAACUGCAUAGCUAGAGUCCUGGAGAGGAAGGUGGAAUGCUUGGUGUAGAGGUGAAAUUCGUAGAUAUCAAGCGGAACACCGGUGGCGAAGGCGGCCUUCUGGACAGUGACUGACGCUGAGACGCGAAAGCGUGGGGAGCAAACAGG